This 254-nucleotide ribosomal RNA is filed under the name uncultured bacterium. RNAcentral describes it as "partial 16S ribosomal RNA". It matches the Rfam family "Bacterial small subunit ribosomal RNA", at positions 524 to 776 of the family's 1533-position model. The record is from RNAcentral.
UACGUAGGGUGCAAGCGUUAAUCGGAAUUACUGGGCGUAAAGCGCGCGUAGGCGGUCACUUAAGUCUGAGGUGAAAGGUUCAGCGCUCAACGUGAACAGUGCCUUGGAUACUGGGUGACUUGAGUUCGGGAGGGGGCAGUGGAAUUCCAGGUGUAGCGGUGAAAUGCGUAGAUAUCUGGAGGAACACCGAUGGCGAAGGCAGCUGCCUGGCCCAGAACUGACGCUGAGGUGCGAAAGCGUGGGGAGCGAACGGG